AGUCGAGCGUCUCCCGAUUUUUCGGGGGUAGCGGCGGACGGCUGAGUAACACGCAGGAACCUACCACCAACUGGGGGAUAGCGGUGAGAAAUCAUGGGUAAUACCCCAUAGUACCUCCAAUUUGGAGGUUAAAGGAAGUAACUUUUCGGUUGAUGACGGGCCUACGGCUUAUCAGGUUGUUGGUGAGGUAAUGGCUCACCAAGCCUAUGACGAGUAGCUGACCUGAGAGGGUGUACAGCCAGAGGGGUACUGAGACACGGACCCCAUUCCUACGGGAAGCAGCAAUCAGGAAUAGUCGGCAAUGGGCGAAAGCCUGACCGCGCGACGCCGCGUGUGGGAAGAAGUUCCUUUGGAAUGUAAACCACUGUGGUAAAGGAAGAAAACCUCCAACUUGGAGGUUUGACGGUACUUUGCUAGAAAAGGGUCGCUAACUGCGUGCCAGAAGCGUCGGUAACACGUGGACCCUAAGCGUUAUCCGGUUUUACUGGGCGUAAAGAGUCGUGUAGGCGGUUUAUUAAGUUACUUUUGAAAUUUUUCUGCUUAACAGAGAAACUGGAGGUAAUACUAAUAGACUAGAGUUUUCUCAAGGGAAACUGGAACUUAAGGAGGAGUAGUGAAAUGCACUGAUACCUUAAGGAACACCAGUGGCGAAAGCGAGUUUCUAGGAGGAGACUGACGCUGAGACACGAAAGC
RNAcentral lists this ribosomal RNA (693 nucleotides) under uncultured bacterium. RNAcentral describes it as "bacterial SSU rRNA". It matches the Rfam family "Bacterial small subunit ribosomal RNA", at positions 60 to 760 of the family's 1533-position model. The record is from RNAcentral.